Molecule: long non-coding RNA, 522 nt
Filed under: Gossypium raimondii (Peruvian cotton)
Lineage: Eukaryota; Viridiplantae; Streptophyta; Magnoliopsida; Malvales; Malvaceae
Description: long non-coding RNA (GRAI_LNC006545)
Source: RNAcentral
CUCCGGUCAUUGGCACUAUCGCCGCCGCCUUUUACGGUGAUCGAAUGUUUCCUUCACCCAUUCGCUUCUCCUGAUUCUGAUAUUCCAAAACCAACCAAAGGGAAAAUUGAAAACUUUUCAGCUUCUUUUGACCCAAUCUUCACGCUACUUUGGCCAUCGCCGGUCAACCAUCAACCGAGGAAAUCAAAGUUGAUCCAACAUGUUUAACCUAGAAAUCAAUAGAAACGCAAAAUCACAAAGCUUGAAGAGGAGGGUGGUUCAGUGGCCAAUCCCAACAGUGAAGAGGCAAAGGAGGAGAUGCACAACAUAAGGCAAACCAAAGUUGAUCCAACGGUGGAGAUUGGGGAUCGGAUGAGAGAAAAACCGAAUUUCAAGAUUCGAUUCGAGCAUUUGGACUUGAUUUUCGGGGAAUUUAAACACACAAAGGUAAAGAGAGGCUUUGGGUUGUUAUUUGGAGGUGUCCGUGUCGGAAACGAUGCCGGAGACGACGCCGGAGUGGCAGUGGCGGCUAGGGUUCCAAAG